This 72-nucleotide transfer RNA is filed under the name Gracilariopsis chorda. RNAcentral describes it as "Gracilaria chorda tRNA". It matches the Rfam family "tRNA". From Rfam's summary of the family: Transfer RNA (tRNA) molecules are approximately 80 nucleotides in length. Their secondary structure includes four short double-helical elements and three loops (D, anti-codon, and T loops). Further hydrogen bonds mediate the characteristic L-shaped molecular structure. tRNAs have two regions of fundamental functional importance: the anti-codon, which is responsible for specific mRNA codon recognition, and the 3' end, to which the tRNAs corresponding amino acid is attached (by aminoacyl-tRNA synthetases). tRNAs cope with the degeneracy of the genetic code in two manners: having more than one tRNA (with a specific anti-codon) for a particular amino acid; and 'wobble' base-pairing, i.e. permitting non-standard base-pairing at the 3rd anti-codon position. The record is from Rfam by way of RNAcentral. Lineage: Eukaryota; Rhodophyta; Florideophyceae; Gracilariales; Gracilariaceae.
UCCUCUAUGGUCUAGUGGUUAGGAUUUCUGACUCUCACUCAGGAGGCCGGGGUUCAAUUCCCCGUGGAGGAA